This 434-nucleotide ribosomal RNA is filed under the name uncultured Escherichia sp. Its description in RNAcentral is "bacterial SSU rRNA". It matches the Rfam family "Bacterial small subunit ribosomal RNA", at positions 958 to 1392 of the family's 1533-position model. The record is from RNAcentral. Lineage: Bacteria; Pseudomonadati; Pseudomonadota; Gammaproteobacteria; Enterobacterales; Enterobacteriaceae.
AACGCGAAGAACCUUACCUGGUCUUGACAUCCACGGAAGUUUUCAGAGAUGAGAAUGUGCCUUCGGGAACCGUGAGACAGGUGCUGCAUGGCUGUCGUCAGCUCGUGUUGUGAAAUGUUGGGUUAAGUCCCGCAACGAGCGCAACCCUUAUCCUUUGUUGCCAGCGGUCCGGCCGGGAACUCAAAGGAGACUGCCAGUGAUAAACUGGAGGAAGGUGGGGAUGACGUCAAGUCAUCAUGGCCCUUACGACCAGGGCUACACACGUGCUGCAAUGGCGCAUACAAAGAGAAGCGACCUCGCGAGAGCAAGCGGACCUCAUAAAGUGCGUCGUAGCCCGGAUUGGAGUCUGCAACUCGACUCCAUGAAGUCGGAAUCGCUAGUAAUCGUGGAUCAGAAUGCCACGGUGAAUACGUUCCCGGGUCUUGUACACACCG